ACUGCUUCUCAUCCUAUUGGCUAAGAUCAUGUGUAGUAUCUGUUCUGAUCAGUUUAAAAAGGACAUUAUAGGUCUUAUAUAAACAAAGGAAACACAUAUAGGGAGAUUUUCCAUACCAAAUACCUAGAAAGAAUCACAAAUUUCAUAAUUAUUGCAGAAUUUAAAUUUAGAGUUGGCAUAGG
Small nuclear RNA from Oryctolagus cuniculus (rabbit), 182 nucleotides. Its record names the gene U2. It matches the Rfam family "U2 spliceosomal RNA". Rfam says of the family: U2 is a small nuclear RNA (snRNA) component of the spliceosome (involved in pre-mRNA splicing). Complementary binding between U2 snRNA (in an area lying towards the 5' end but 3' to hairpin I) and the branchpoint sequence (BPS) of the intron results the bulging out of an unpaired adenosine, on the BPS, which initiates a nucleophilic attack at the intronic 5' splice site, thus starting the first of two transesterification reactions that mediate splicing. Lineage: Eukaryota; Metazoa; Chordata; Mammalia; Lagomorpha; Leporidae. The record is from Ensembl.